Molecule: non-coding RNA, 414 nt
Organism: Vicia faba (fava bean)
Lineage: Eukaryota; Viridiplantae; Streptophyta; Magnoliopsida; Fabales; Fabaceae
Source: the annotation of a GenBank genome assembly
AUGACAAUGCUCCGGAACUCCCUUCACACCUCGAUUCUGCCGCCCCAGCCACUGCUCUUCAACAACCGAGCAACACCUGCGACCACCACGUUUUCAGCAGCAAGUGGCCUCCUCCAGAUCACCAGGAUCGACGACGACCUUGUAGCAUCACAGCAACGAUUCGAUGAAACUCAAACCGCGAAUCCGCAACCCAGCCAACAACAACACCGUACCUCACCCUCUCCAGAUCGAUCGCUCCAGCCAUGCUCAGCUUUAACGAAGUUCUCUGACGACGCCGCACACGAAGCCCCACUCAACUGCCGGACUCAAGUCAAGUCAAAUCCAAGUCGCGCAAGACCGCCGGACUCAACCGCACCACCCAAUCGCCACCGUUUCACUUUAGAUAGGUUGCAUACUCUUUGGCUGUGUUCUUAA